UACGUAUGUCCCAAGCGUUACCCGGAAUCACUGGGUGUAAAGGGUUCGUAGGUGGGGAAAUAAGUUGGAUAUGAAAGACCGAAGCUCAACUUCGUGUUUGUCUCCAAAACUGUUUUCCUAGAAUCAGGGAGAGGUAAGCGGAAUUCUAAGUGUAGGGGUGCAAUCCGUAGAUACUUAGAGGAACACCAAAAGCGAAGGCAGCUUACUGGAACUGUAUUGACACUGAGGAACGAAAGCGUGGGUAGCGAAAAGGAUUAGAUACCCUUGUAGUCCACGCCCUAAACGAUGAUAACUAAGUGUUGGGAAUAUUCCCAGUGCUGUAGCUAACGCGUUAAGUUAUCCACCUGAGGAGUACGGUCGCAAGAUUAAAACUCAAAGGAAUAGACGGGGACCCACACAAGCAGUGGAUCACGUGGUUUAAUUCGACAAUAAACGGGGAACCUUACCCAGGCUUGACAUCUACCGAAUCUUUCAGAGAUGAGAGAGUGCUUUUAUUAGAGCGGUAAGACAGGUGCUGCAUGGUUGUCGUCAGCUCGUGCCUUGAGGUGUUCGGUUAAGUCCGUUAACGAGCGCAACCCAUGUCGUUAGUUAUUAUGUCUAACGAGACUGCCUUGGUUAACAAGGAGGAAGGUGUGGAUGACGUCAAAUCAGCAUGGCUUUUACGCCUGGGGCUACACACAUGAUACAAUGGUAUGUACAAAGAGUAGCAAUCUGGUAACAGUGAGCUAAUCUUAAAAGCAUAUCUCAGUCCGGAUUGAGGUCUGCAACUCGACCUCAUGAAGUUGGAAUUGCUAGUAAUCGUGAAUCAGAUAUGUCACGGUGAAUAUGUUCCUGGGUC
This 838-nucleotide ribosomal RNA is filed under the name uncultured bacterium. RNAcentral describes it as "bacterial SSU rRNA". It matches the Rfam family "Bacterial small subunit ribosomal RNA", at positions 524 to 1380 of the family's 1533-position model. The record is from RNAcentral.